RNAcentral lists this ribosomal RNA (879 nucleotides) under uncultured bacterium. RNAcentral describes it as "bacterial SSU rRNA". It matches the Rfam family "Bacterial small subunit ribosomal RNA", at positions 1 to 923 of the family's 1533-position model. The record is from RNAcentral.
UAGAGUUUGAUCCUGGCUCAGAACGAACGCUGGCGGCAUGCCUAACACAUGCAAGUCGAACGGGAUCCGGACUUCGGUCCGGUGAGAGUGGCGGACGGGUGAGUAACGCGUGGGAACCUGCCCAAUGGUCUGGGAUAACCGCGGGAAACUGCGGCUAAUACCGGAUAAGCCCGAGAGGGGAAAGAUUUAUCGCCGAUGGAGGGGCCCGCGUCCGAUUAGGUAGUUGGUGAGGUAACGGCUCACCAAGCCGACGAUCGGUAGCUGGUCUGAGAGGAUGAUCAGCCACACUGGGACUGAGAUACGGCCCAGACUCCUACGGGAGGCAGCAGUGGGGAAUAUUGGACAAUGGGGGCAACCCUGAUCCAGCAAUGCCGCGUGAGUGAUGAAGGCCUUAGGGUUGUAAAGCUCUUUUGGCGGGGACGAUGAUGACGGUACCCGCAGAAUAAGCCCCGGCUAACUUCGUGCCAGCAGCCGCGGUAAUACGAAGGGGGCGAGCGUUGUUCGGAAUUACUGGGCGUAAAGGGCGCGUAGGCGGCGACCCAAGUCAGAUGUGAAAGUCCUGGGCUUAACCUGGGGACUGCAUUUGAUACUGGGUUGCUUGAAUGCAGGAGAGGAUAGCGGAAUUCCCAGUGUAGAGGUGAAAUUCGUAGAUAUUGGGAAGAACACCGGUGGCGAAGGCGGCUAUCUGGACUGUGAUUGACGCUGAGGCGCGAAAGCGUGGGGAGCAAACAGGAUUAGAUACCCUGGUAGUCCACGCCGUAACGAUGAAUGCUAGACGCUGGGGAGCAUGCUCUUCGGUGUCGCAGCUAACGCAUUAAGCAUUCCGCCUGGGGAGUACGGUCGCAAGAUUAAAACUCAAAGGGAUUUGACGGGGGCCCG